Molecule: ribosomal RNA, 505 nt
Filed under: Paraleptophlebia vaciva
Lineage: Eukaryota; Metazoa; Arthropoda; Insecta; Ephemeroptera; Leptophlebiidae
Description: partial 16S ribosomal RNA
Rfam family: Bacterial large subunit ribosomal RNA
Source: RNAcentral
CGCCUUUAGAAUUUAUAUAAGGUAUAACCUGCCCACUGAUGAAUUGAAGGGCCGCGGUAUUUUGACCGUGCAAAGGUAGCAUAAUCAUUAGUCUUCUAAUUAAAGGCUGGCAUGAAUGGUUGGAUGAGGUACUGACUGUCUCAGUAAUAAAAAAUUAGAAUUUAACUUUUUAGUCAAAAGGCUAAAAUAUAAUUAAAGGACGAGAAGACCCUAUAGAGCUUUAUAAAUUUAUACAAGUAAAAUUAGAUGUUGAUUGUUAUUGGUAGUAAUUUAUUUUGUUGGGGUGACAAAGAAAUAAAAAAACUUUCUUUUUUAAAAACAAUAAUGAUUGAUUAAAGGAUCCGUUUUUAGCGAUUAAAAGAUUAAGUUACCUUAGGGAUAACAGCAUAAUCUUCUUUGAGAGUUCUAAUCGACAAGAAGGGUUGUGACCUCGAUGUUGGAUUAAGAUUAAUUUAAAAUGCAGACGUUUUAAAGUUGGGUCUGUUCGACCUUUAAAUUCUUACAU